RNAcentral lists this ribosomal RNA (2926 nucleotides) under Escherichia coli. Its description in RNAcentral is "bacterial LSU rRNA". It matches the Rfam family "Bacterial large subunit ribosomal RNA". The record is from RNAcentral. Lineage: Bacteria; Pseudomonadati; Pseudomonadota; Gammaproteobacteria; Enterobacterales; Enterobacteriaceae.
GGGUUGUGAGGUUAAGCGACUAAGCGUACACGGUGGAUGCCCUGGCAGUCAGAGGCGAUGAAGGACGUGCUAAUCUGCGAUAAGCGUCGGUAAGGUGAUAUGAACCGUUAUAACCGGCGAUUUCCGAAUGGGGAAACCCAGUGUGUUUCGACACACUAUCAUUAACUGAAUCCAUAGGUUAAUGAGGCGAACCGGGGGAACUGAAACAUCUAAGUACCCCGAGGAAAAGAAAUCAACCGAGAUUCCCCCAGUAGCGGCGAGCGAACGGGGAGCAGCCCAGAGCCUGAAUCAGUGUGUGUGUUAGUGGAAGCGUCUGGAAAGGCGCGCGAUACAGGGUGACAGCCCCGUACACAAAAAUGCACAUACUGUGAGCUCGAUGAGUAGGGCGGGACACGUGGUAUCCUGUCUGAAUAUGGGGGGACCAUCCUCCAAGGCUAAAUACUCCUGACUGACCGAUAGUGAACCAGUACCGUGAGGGAAAGGCGAAAAGAACCCCGGCGAGGGGAGUGAAAAAGAACCUGAAACCGUGUACGUACAAGCAGUGGGAGCCUCUUUAUGGGGUGACUGCGUACCUUUUGUAUAAUGGGUCAGCGACUUAUAUUCUGUAGCAAGGUUAACCGAAUAGGGGAGCCGAAGGGAAACCGAGUCUUAACUGGGCGUUAAGUUGCAGGGUAUAGACCCGAAACCCGGUGAUCUAGCCAUGGGCAGGUUGAAGGUUGGGUAACACUAACUGGAGGACCGAACCGACUAAUGUUGAAAAAUUAGCGGAUGACUUGUGGCUGGGGGUGAAAGGCCAAUCAAACCGGGAGAUAGCUGGUUCUCCCCGAAAGCUAUUUAGGUAGCGCCUCGUGAAUUCAUCUCCGGGGGUAGAGCACUGUUUCGGCAAGGGGGUCAUCCCGACUUACCAACCCGAUGCAAACUGCGAAUACCGGAGAAUGUUAUCACGGGAGACACACGGCGGGUGCUAACGUCCGUCGUGAAGAGGGAAACAACCCAGACCGCCAGCUAAGGUCCCAAAGUCAUGGUUAAGUGGGAAACGAUGUGGGAAGGCCCAGACAGCCAGGAUGUUGGCUUAGAAGCAGCCAUCAUUUAAAGAAAGCGUAAUAGCUCACUGGUCGAGUCGGCCUGCGCGGAAGAUGUAACGGGGCUAAACCAUGCACCGAAGCUGCGGCAGCGACGCUUAUGCGUUGUUGGGUAGGGGAGCGUUCUGUAAGCCUGUGAAGGUGUGCUGUGAGGCAUGCUGGAGGUAUCAGAAGUGCGAAUGCUGACAUAAGUAACGAUAAAGCGGGUGAAAAGCCCGCUCGCCGGAAGACCAAGGGUUCCUGUCCAACGUUAAUCGGGGCAGGGUGAGUCGACCCCUAAGGCGAGGCCGAAAGGCGUAGUCGAUGGGAAACAGGUUAAUAUUCCUGUACUUGGUGUUACUGCGAAGGGGGGACGGAGAAGGCUAUGUUGGCCGGGCGACGGUUGUCCCGGUUUAAGCGUGUAGGCUGGUUUUCCAGGCAAAUCCGGAAAAUCAAGGCUGAGGCGUGAUGACGAGGCACUACGGUGCUGAAGCAACAAAUGCCCUGCUUCCAGGAAAAGCCUCUAAGCAUCAGGUAACAUCAAAUCGUACCCCAAACCGACACAGGUGGUCAGGUAGAGAAUACCAAGGCGCUUGAGAGAACUCGGGUGAAGGAACUAGGCAAAAUGGUGCCGUAACUUCGGGAGAAGGCACGCUGAUAUGUAGGUGAAGUCCCUUGCGGAUGGAGCUGAAAUCAGUCGAAGAUACCAGCUGGCUGCAACUGUUUAUUAAAAACACAGCACUGUGCAAACACGAAAGUGGACGUAUACGGUGUGACGCCUGCCCGGUGCCGGAAGGUUAAUUGAUGGGGUUAGCGGUAACGCGAAGCUCUUGAUCGAAGCCCCGGUAAACGGCGGCCGUAACUAUAACGGUCCUAAGGUAGCGAAAUUCCUUGUCGGGUAAGUUCCGACCUGCACGAAUGGCGUAAUGAUGGCCAGGCUGUCUCCACCCGAGACUCAGUGAAAUUGAACUCGCUGUGAAGAUGCAGUGUACCCGCGGCAAGACGGAAAGACCCCGUGAACCUUUACUAUAGCUUGACACUGAACAUUGAGCCUUGAUGUGUAGGAUAGGUGGGAGGCUUUGAAGUGUGGACGCCAGUCUGCAUGGAGCCGACCUUGAAAUACCACCCUUUAAUGUUUGAUGUUCUAACGUUGGCCCCUGAUCGGGGUUGCGGACAGUGUCUGGUGGGUAGUUUGACUGGGGCGGUCUCCUCCUAAAGAGUAACGGAGGAGCACGAAGGUUGGCUAAUCCUGGUCGGACAUCAGGAGGUUAGUGCAAUGGCAUAAGCCAGCUUGACUGCGAGCGUGACGGCGCGAGCAGGUGCGAAAGCAGGUCAUAGUGAUCCGGUGGUUCUGAAUGGAAGGGCCAUCGCUCAACGGAUAAAAGGUACUCCGGGGAUAACAGGCUGAUACCGCCCAAGAGUUCAUAUCGACGGCGGUGUUUGGCACCUCGAUGUCGGCUCAUCACAUCCUGGGGCUGAAGUAGGUCCCAAGGGUAUGGCUGUUCGCCAUUUAAAGUGGUACGCGAGCUGGGUUUAGAACGUCGUGAGACAGUUCGGUCCCUAUCUGCCGUGGGCGCUGGAGAACUGAGGGGGGCUGCUCCUAGUACGAGAGGACCGGAGUGGACGCAUCACUGGUGUUCGGGUUGUCAUGCCAAUGGCACUGCCCGGUAGCUAAAUGCGGAAGAGAUAAGUGCUGAAAGCAUCUAAGCACGAAACUUGCCCCGAGAUGAGUUCUCCCUGACCCUUUAAGGGUCCUGAAGGAACGUUGAAGACGACGACGUUGAUAGGCCGGGUGUGUAAGCGCAGCGAUGCGUUGAGCUAACCGGUACUAAUGAACCGUGAGGCUUAACCUUACAACGCCGAAG